AGCUUGUUGGUGAGGUAACGGCUCACCAAGGCGACGACAGGUACCAGGCGUGAGAGCGUGGCCUGGCACAUCGGGACUGAGACACUGCCCGGACGUCUACGGAUGGCUGCAGCAACGAAUAUUCCGCAAUGGACGAAAGUCUGACGGAGCGACGCCGCGUGUAGGACGAAGCACUUCGGUGUGUAAACUACUGUCAGGGAUUAGGAAGAAAGUGACCAAUCCCAAAGGAAGCCUCGGCUAACUCCGUGCCAGCCGCGGUAAUACGGAGGAGGCAAGCGUUGUUCGGAAUCAUUGGGCUUAAAGCGUGUGCAGGCGGAAUGGAAGGUGCUUCAGUGAAAGCCCUCGGCUCAACCGAGGAAUUACUGGGCAAACCAUCAUUCUUGAGGCCAGUAGGGGUACCUGGAACUUUGGGUGGAGCGGUGAAAUGCGUAGAUAUCCAAGGGAACGCCGAUGGCGAAAGCGGGGUACUGGGCUGGUUCUGACGCUGAGACACGAAAGCGUGGGUAGCAAACAGGAUUAGAUACCCUGGUAGUCCACGCCGUAAACGAUGCGCACUAGGUAUCAGAAUCUCUGACGGAUAUUGGUGCCGUAGCAAAAGCGAUAAGUGCGCCGCCUGGGGAGUACGGCCGCAAGGUUAAAACUCAAAGGAAUUGACGGGGGCUCACACAAGCGGUGGAGCAUGUGGAUUAAUUCGACGCGAAGAACCUUACCUGGGUUUGACAUGCUAGGAUGCACCCGUGAAAGCGGGCUAUGCUGCUUUUAGUGAAACUAGCACAGGUGCUGCAUGGCUGUCGUCAGCUCGUGCUGUGAAGUGUCGGGUUAAGUCCCUUAACGAGCGGAACCCUUAUCGUUAGUUGCCAGCGGGUAAUGCCGGGGACUCUAGCGAGACUGCCGGCGCUAAGCCGGAGGAAGGUGGGGACGACGUCAAGUCAUCAUGGCCUUUAUGCCCAGGGUGUCACACGUGCUACAAUGGUGGCGACAGAGCGAAGCAAGACCGUGAGGUGGAGCAAAUCGCAGAAACGUCAUCUCAGUUCGGAUUGGAGUCUGCAACCCGACUCCAUGAAGGUGGAAUCGCUAGUAAUCGCGUAUCAGCCAUGACGCGGUGAAUAUGUUCCUGAGCCUUGUACACACCGCCCGUCAAGUCAUGGAAGCUGGGAGUACCCGAAGUCCGCUUAGCGAACCUGCAAGGGAAGCGGCGGCCGACGGUAAGCCCGGUAACUGGGACUAAGUCGGAGCAAGGUAGCCGUAGGGGAACCUGCGGCUG
Molecule: ribosomal RNA, 1264 nt
Filed under: metagenome
Description: bacterial SSU rRNA
Rfam family: Bacterial small subunit ribosomal RNA
Source: RNAcentral